GUGAGUAGUUCAGAGUUUGAUCCUGGCUCAGGAUGAACGCUGGCGGCGUGCCUAACACAUGCAAGUCGAGCGAGAUACUGAUGAUUGAAACUUCGGUAGAUUGAUUCAGUGGAAAGCGGCGGACGGGUGAGUAACGCGUAGGCAACCUGCCCCUUACACAGGGAUAGCCAUUGGAAACGAUGAUUAAAACCUGAUGACACCUUGAGAUGACAUCUUCUUGAGGUCAAAGAUUUAUCGGUAAGGGAUGGGCCUGCGUCUGAUUAGAUAGUUGGUGAGGUAACGGCCCACCAAGUCAACGAUCAGUAGCCGACCUGAGAGGGUGAUCGGCCACAUUGGAACUGAGACACGGUCCAA
Molecule: ribosomal RNA, 354 nt
Filed under: uncultured bacterium
Lineage: Bacteria
Description: bacterial SSU rRNA
Rfam family: Bacterial small subunit ribosomal RNA
Source: RNAcentral